This 267-nucleotide ribosomal RNA is filed under the name Cynosurus cristatus. RNAcentral's name for it is "5.8S ribosomal RNA". The record is from RNAcentral. Lineage: Eukaryota; Viridiplantae; Streptophyta; Magnoliopsida; Poales; Poaceae.
CAGGCAGGCGUGCCCUCGGCCAAAAGGCCUCGGGCGCAACUUGCGUUCAAAGACUCGAUGGUUCGCGGGAUUCUGCAAUUCACACCAGGUAUCGCAUUUCGCUACGUUCUUCAUCGAUGCGAGAGCCGAGAUAUCCGUUGCCGAGAGUCGUGUGGAUUAAAUAGCGUUGCAACACGGGGGGCGACCAGCAAGCAAGCCGCGUCCCCGGGUUAGGCACAGUUUUCCUUGACGCCUUCGGCGCCGUGGGUUCUUUUACCCCGAGCCACU